UAUAAGGGAGUGUGCUGGGGGCAGAGAAGAAGGAAGGGAAGAAAAGAGAGAUUGCUGCUUGCAUGUAGAAAGAAAGGUUCCUGAAUAAACUGCUUUGAGAAGAACGUCGUGGUGUUGUUCCUUUCUGCGGGACGGAGACGGAAAUGACAAGUGGUGGCCUGUACGGGGAAAUUCAUUCAGAACUCAUUGCAGUCAGGGUGGCUAGCCGGUAAGUUCCCAGGUAAGUGGGACAAGUCGCAAAGCUCUCAGAUUGAGACUAUAAGGUUCCCGGUUUUGGGACGAGGGUUAAGUUCUCAGAUUGAGACCAUAAGGUUCCCGGUUUUGGGACAAGUCACACCAAGCACAAUGGGGAACUCAACAUCAGCUCAGACAGUUCGACAAGCCCUCAAGGAUUUGUUAAAAGCGAAAGGAAUCGGGCUAAAGAAAGAAAUAGUAGAGAAUUUUUUGUUGUUGUUGUUCUUUUUUUCAGAGCUGGGGACCGAACCCAGGGCCUUGCGCUUCCUAGGCAAGCGCUCUACCACUGAGCUAAAUCCCCAACCCCGAGAAUUUUUUAAAAGCAAUGAACCAGGUUGCUCCGUGGUUUCCGGUGACAGGACAUCUUACAAUGCCCAGUUGGAAGAAAUUAGGGAAAGAUUUGAGGUUUGCCGAGGAGCAGGGGGUUUUACCAAAAGGAGUGCUGCCAGUGUGGAAAUUAGUGAGAAAUCGCACAGGGGAUGAGGAAAGGUGUGGCUCGGAGCUCCAAAAGGGAAAUGAGGCACUAAAUCAGGUUAGGGAGGAAUGUUCUCAAAAAAUCAGAGACCGAGGGAAAUGCUAGCAAGGGGGAAAUGUCGGAAGACGAUAUGGAAAGCAUCACUGACAGCUUAGAGAAAGUGAAACUAAAGGUAGAACCAUCGGCUCCGGGGCCACCUCAUCCGCCUCUGUACGCUCCAGGCAGGGCAGAGGGACGUGGCUUACACCUGGAAAUCUGGAGAGUUUUUGGCAUUACUGCAGCCAUUGUUACUGCUAUAGCAGUUUCUGCUGCCGCCGCAGCCAUUGCUGCGGCCAUAUCCCUUACCGCCAUAGUACAGACUGCGGUAGCUGUAAGUAAUUUAUCCGCAGGUGUUGCAGAAGCUUUAGAUGUUCAGGGUAAUAUUAAUAGUCAGUUGAAAGCGGGAAUUUUGCUGCUGUAUCAAAGGGUCGAUUUGCUCCAGGAACAAGCGAAUAUUAUGAUGGGGUUAAUGCAAUUGGGUUGUGAGUGGAAAUAUUCAGGACUGUGUGUCACUUCCAUACCAUUUGUGAAUGUCAGUCAUGCUGCUCAGAUAUCCCGUAAUAUAUCUCAGUAUCUUACAGGAAUUUGGUCUCAACACUUUGAUGGACUAGUUCAGGAAUUGAGACAAUCCAUCGUCCAUAUCAACUCCACUCGAGUGGACGGUCACCGUGGAAGUGGUGGGAAAGGGGAAGUUUAAAGGUGUCGGCUGGAAUUACUGGAUCACAAAGUCUGCUGCAGCACGAAGAGCCCUCUGUAGCCUCAAAGCUAACCAGCCUCUGGUUCCUAACAGCUGAAGCUUCCAGACUUACAAGCGGCAAGGCAGUGAACCAGAACCGUAGCAGCACACCACAAAGGAUGAUUCAAGCCAACACAGAGCAUGUCCUUAGCUGGAGGACUGGCCGAUUAGAUUGCCGCCAUUGCCUCACGGCUGAAAGAAUGGGCUGGACUUGCUGGACUUGCCCUAUGACUGAUUCUUAUUAGCGUCCUGGCCUUUUGGUGCAUGUGCUGUAUACAGUUUUGUCAGCAUGGAACUCAAGCCUUAAUGAUACAGGCUUUUGUAGCAGUGGAGACAGGACAGUCUCCUCAAGUAUGGCUUGGCAUGCUAGAGAAGUAGUCAAUGAUGGGUAAGACUCCCUGGGCGUGUCACCAACCUAAGACAGGGAUCAAACCUAAGCUGUUUGUCUCCCGAUGACAGACGGGUAAGGGGCAUUGCUGCAGGGGGCAACCUAAGACAGGCAUUCUCUCUGCCAAAAACAUAAAGAAGGGGGAGAUGUGGGGAGCGGGUGUGGCGGCAGUCCCAAGAUGGCGCCUGGGACUGCAGCUAAGUCUCAUGACUAGCACCUGACUUCCUCACACACCUGAAACUAGCCAUCCAUUGUGAGAGCUGCGCAGGCGCACCAUGACACAAGAUCAGGCCAUGUGACGUGGACCUAUGAACUGAGACUACGCAGUCUGGACUGAGGAGGCGGAGUUGAGGGAGGAUAUAAGGGAGUGUGCUCGUGGGCUGUGUGGAGAAAAGGGAAGAAAAGAGAGAUUGCUGCUUGCAUGCAGAAAGAAAGGUUCCUGAAUAAACUGCUUUGAGAAGAACACUGUGGUGCCGCUCCUUUCUGCAGGACGGAGACGGAGACAACACAAGAUCUUGCUAUUCAACCCACCAUCCCCACUUCAGCCUUGCCAACAUGGGAUUGCAGGUAACACAAGACUGUGUUUUGAGGAAUCGUUUCUGCAGUCCACUAAGUCAAUCAGCACACCACGAUUCCCAUAUGGUAACAUAAAUCAAUAAAUAAAUAAGAAUUAAUCAGACUUUCAUCUUGAGCUUUAAACAAUAGAAAUAUCUUUAAACCGAAGCUGAAGUUAACCUGCCGUGUUCUGAGAAUAACAGACGCCGUGAGCCAGAGUACGGGAGAGUUCAGACAUCAUCAAUAGAACCAGCAGGAAUAGCUGUGCUUGGUGAUGUGCUGUCUGCACGCUGACCUGGAAAUCAAUUGGCUCUAACUGGAGCUUCACUAUCAAGGUCACCAGUUUCUCUUCUACUACAGAAAAUGACCCCUAAUCAUGUCAAGAAGUUCCUGCUUUGUAAGUUGUGGUUAGCCAUCUUAGAGGCUUAGACUCCCAUCAGAACGUGGGGCUGGGCUAUAGCUCCGUGGUCAAGCACUUGCCUAGCACACGUGAGGCCCCGAGUUCAGUUCCUGGUACUGCAAGAAAGAAGAUGUACUCUAAAACAGAUGUGCCUGUUUCAAAGGCAAACGGAAAAUUGUUUUUUAAAUGUCGAUCUUCCAGUGUAAGUCUGCUCUUGGAUUCUAAAAUUGUGUUUUACAUAUACAGUCCUGUGUCUAUGUUUAUGCUUGAAAAGUACCACCCAGAAGAAGAAGACAGUAUCAUUGGCCAAACAGGACAUGCACUUAUCUUUUAGUUAUGUCCUUAAGGUCUGUGGGUGAACCGAAGGGGAAGAGGCCCAGGCAGUUGAGCACAGCUCCUACCUCCAUUGGAGUCUUUAACUGAUGAGGAUGAUUUCAGGGUAUAUACAAUAGCCACCCACCCAGUGAGUCUAGAGAUAUAGGAACUGGAUUAAUUUCUCACCCAAGUUCCACUGAGCUCAAAACUCAGGACAUAAUGCAGAUCUUUUUAUUUAAGUAGUGUGUAACUUUCAUUUUUUAAAAAUCUUAUUUUUAAUGAUGGUUCUUAAAUGCUUUAACCUUCCUCGUAACCCAUCACCCACCAGAGGGUAGUGGAAAAGAAAGAAUAUAGGGGAAGUGGGCCUCUCUGGAGCGACUCCCAUAUGUGAUGUCUGGAAACCAACAGUUCAGCCCACAGGUUAGCAGGCAGUGGCAGCUUGAUCUACUCACAAACACCUCACAGCUACACCAGCAAUCCAGUUCAGGACAGUCAGGUUGGCAACAGUGGUGACACGAUCUAGCAGAGACAGCCAGACUUCAGGCUCGGUGCAAGUAGCAGGAGGGGCCCAGGGGGAUAGCAGGAGUUCUAAGCUGUCUUUCUCAGGAAAACGAAGAUCAUCAAAGAGGCAAAGGCCACAAGCACUGCACAGCUAGCUGUACCAGCAAGCCAAGCUCUGUCUCCGUCACUCUGUGGAGUCCUAUGUAUACCCUCCAAACAUCACGUGUCCUCUACAUGCCUUGCCUCAGCGUCUGAUUAGCCCGAUUCCCAGGAAGCAGCAACGAACUGCAGCAUACCACAGAAGGUUUUUGGCGGACUCUCUCUAUGGCAUCUCAACAAAUGCAGCUCAACUACAAAAUGUAAGGAGGACCAAUACGUGCAUGUCAUUAGUAAAGAAUCCUUUAUCACGUGUCCUUUAUUUAGCAGAACGUGCUUGCUUUAGCAGAGCUUUUUCUCUCCCGUGUCUGUUUCAGUGCAACAUUCUUCUACCAGUUGACCUUAGCCUUUCACGCCUGUGUCCAUUUUACCAAAACAUUCCUUCAUGUGUUUGCCCCAGCAAAACACCAUUCCAAAAACCCUUUAAAUUUCCACUUCAGUGGUGUUAAGGCUUGAAUGUGCCCACCUGCUCCCACAAGUUAGAAAUCGAAUCCCCAAUACAACAGUGUUGAGUGAGGGCUGGUGGGAGAUGUCUAGAUCACAAGGCCCCUGCUUCAUGAUAUGCAAGUAUAUGAAUAUGUUAUUAAAAGGCUUCGGAGUUGGGAAGACGGCUCAGCUGGUGCAAUGCUUGCUAUGCACACAUGAGGACCUGAGUUCAGAUCUUCAGAGCUUUGUAAGGGAGGAAGCUGAGCUCACUUGCAAUCCCAGAGGUGGAUGUGGAGAUGGAAGGUUCCCUCGAGCUUCCUGGCCAGCCAGGCUGGUCCACAGUUGUAUGAGAGACAUUCCUUGUCUGUAAAAAAGUAGAGUAGAAAACCAACUAAGGACAACACCUGUCUUAGUCAGGGUUCCAUUGCUCUAAAGAGAUACCUUGACCACAGCAAUUCUUAUAAAUGAAAACGUUUAAGAGAGGCUGGCCUACAAUUCAUAAAUUUAGACCAUUGUUGUCAUGGUGGGAGCAUGGCAACAUACAGGCAGAUAUGGUGCUGGUGAAAUAGCUAAGAGUUGUACAUCUGGACCAGCGGGCAGUAGGAAGAUACAGACAAUGGGGCAGGCUUUGACUUUAGAAACCUCUAAGUCCACCUCCAGUGACACACUUCCUCCAACAAGGCCACACCUCCCAAUUCCUCCCAAUAGUGACACUCUCUAAUGGCCAGGCAUUCAAAUAUAUGAGCCGUUGGGAGCCAUUCUUAGUCAAACCACUUCAAAACCCUGAUGUCAACCUCUGGCCUUCAGGUGCAAACACACACACACACACACACACACACACACACACACACACACACACACGGGGCGGGUAAGGCUGAGGGUUUCAUCAUGGGAUGAAAGGCAUAAGGUCAGAGUUCACAAAUGUGAGGCCAGGAUCUUAAGAGCCCCCCCAGCAUGCUGAACAGAAAUAAAUACCGUCUGUCUAUAAA
Rattus norvegicus (Norway rat) is the source of this 5214-nucleotide non-coding RNA. Lineage: Eukaryota; Metazoa; Chordata; Mammalia; Rodentia; Muridae. The record is from RefSeq and is a predicted model, not a curated record.